RNAcentral lists this ribosomal RNA (1317 nucleotides) under Anisocentropus maculatus. Its description in RNAcentral is "16S ribosomal RNA". The record is from RNAcentral. Lineage: Eukaryota; Metazoa; Arthropoda; Insecta; Trichoptera; Calamoceratidae.
UAAAAAUUAAUAAAUUAUUUAGUAAUUUUGAAAAAUUUAUUUAAUUAAAAAAAUAAUUAAUUUUUAUUUUUAAGUAUAAUAUUAGAAAAAAAAAUAAUUUGUUGAUAUUUAAGUAUUGAAAAAGAAAUUUGAAAUAAUUUUUAUUAGGAAAAAAAUAAUUUUUAUUUAAUGUAUUUUGUGUAUCAAAGAUUAAUUAUAAUAAAAUUAAUAUUAAUUUUUUUCGAAAUUUUAAGGGCUAAGUAAUUAUUUUAGUUAUUGUAUUAUAAAUAUUAAAAAUUAUUAUUUAGAAAUGAUAUGUUUAUCAAUUAAAAUGAUAUUUAAUUAAAAAAGAAAUAAAUAUAAAUUAAUUAUUUUAAUGAAAUUUUAAAUUGAUAUAUAAAAUUUAUUAAAAUAAUAAAAUUAAAAGAGAUAAUUUUUUUAAUUUAAAAUUAAUUUUUAUAAGUAAUAAAAAAAUUGUAAAAUUUAUAUUUUUUAUCAUAAAAAUUUUUUAUAAAUAAUUUUUUUUAUAAAAUUAUUUAUUUAAAAAUUAAUUAAUUUAUUUUUUUUUAAAUUUUAACUUUUUUUUAUUUUGUGAUAAUAUUAAUAUAAGUAUAAAUAAAUAAUUAUUUUUAAUUUUUAUUUAAUUUUUAAAGUAAGUUAUGAGAAUUCGGCAAAAAGUUAUUUGCUUGUUUAUCAAAAACAUGGUUUUUUGAAUAAAUUAAUUUAAAAUUUAACCUGCCCCCUGAAUUUAUUUUUAAAGGGCCGCAAUUUAAUUGUGCUAAGGUAGCAUAAUAAUUAGAUUCUUAAUUGGAAUCUAGAAUGAAUGGUUGGACAAAAUAUAAUCUUUUUUUAGUUUAGUUAAUUAGAAUUUAAUUUUUUAGUGAAAAAGCUGAAAUAUUUUUAAAAGACGAGAAGACCCUAUAGAUUUUUAUAAUUUUAAUUUUAAUUUUAAUUAAAUUAAAAUUAUUAUAUUGGGGUGAUAAAAAAAUUUAUGAAACUUUUUUAAAUUUAAACAAUUAUUUUUGAAUAUUUAUUUAAUGAUCUUUUUUUAAGAAAUUUAAAUUAAAAUACCUUAGGGAUAACAGCGUUAUUUUAAUUUUUAGUUCUUAUGGAAAUUAAAGUUUGCGACCUCGAUGUUGGAUUAAAAUUAAUAAUAAAAUGCAAAAGUUUAUUUAUUAAGUCUGUUCGACUUUUAAAAUUUUACAUGAUCUGAGUUCAAACCGGUGUGAGCCAGGUUGGUUUCUAUCUUUAAAGUGAUAUUAAUAUAUUUUAGUACGAAAGGAAUUAAUAUAAAAAUUAAAUUUAAAAAAAAAAUGAAUAUAAUUAAUAAGUAUAAUA